Molecule: ribosomal RNA, 253 nt
Filed under: uncultured bacterium
Lineage: Bacteria
Description: partial 16S ribosomal RNA
Rfam family: Bacterial small subunit ribosomal RNA
Source: RNAcentral
UACGUAGGGGGCUAGCGUUGUCCGGAAUCAUUGGGCGUAAAGAGCGUGUAGGCGGCCCGGUAAGUCCGCUGUGAAAGUCGGGGGCUCAACCCUCGAAUGCCGGUGGAUACUGUCGGGCUAGAGUGCGGAAGAGGCGAGUGGAAUUCCUGGUGUAGCGGUGAAAUGCGCAGAUAUCAGGAGGAACACCAAUUGCGAAGGCAGCUCGCUGGGACGUAACUGACGAUGAGACACGAAAGCGUGGGGAGCAAACAGG